UAUUAAGUUGGCUCGUUGCUUUAUUUAUUUAAACACUAAGGUAUACCGAUGUUGGCUAAGUCUAAACAUAAACUGAUGUGUUGUCUACUAUGUUCUACAAAUUAGUAAAGUAUGUACUGACUAAAGUCUAGUUACCCAAGCCCAGACUACAUUAAAUACACAUCAUGCGGGACCCAUGUUCAUCAAAUACUCCGUUUGAUUUGUUUGAAGUCUUUUCAGACGGAUAGAAGAAAUCAAGCAGCGUUGCUAACCGAGUUGUUUCUUAUAUGAAAACAUAGGCAAGACCGUUUCCUCCAGCGGUGGGUUGAUGCGCUCACGGAUGCUCGUGUCACCCAUGAAAUCCAGAGCAUCUGGGUCUCAUACUGGUCACAGUGCGAUGCGUCCCUCGGGCAGAAGCUGGCGUCGCGGCUCAAGAUUAAGCCGAACAUGUAAGAUGGACAAGGAGGAGGGAGGCAGUCGCUCGCCCGCCUCAGCUGGCGUCGAUCGACGGAGCCAAGGAGGGGUGCAGCAUGAACUGAAUCUGUCGUUGUGUGCGUGUAGCCUUGAAUAAAAAUGUGCAGCAGCGAAAUGAAUAUCAAAAUGUAAUACCGAUGAUGGUGGGGUGUCGUCAGCCGGCGUUGCCGGGUUCGUCUGUGAUACUUUGUCUGUGCAAAAGAGAGAAUAAUAAUAGACAAUAAUGUGAUUGGUUAA
Long non-coding RNA from Hordeum vulgare subsp. vulgare (domesticated barley), 690 nucleotides. RefSeq lists it as uncharacterized. The transcript has 2 exons. Lineage: Eukaryota; Viridiplantae; Streptophyta; Magnoliopsida; Poales; Poaceae. The record is from RefSeq and is a predicted model, not a curated record.